Molecule: ribosomal RNA, 465 nt
Filed under: uncultured bacterium
Lineage: Bacteria
Description: partial 16S ribosomal RNA
Rfam family: Bacterial small subunit ribosomal RNA
Source: RNAcentral
CCUACGGGAGGCAGCAGUAGGGAAUAUUGCUCAAUGGGGGAAACCCUGAAGCAGCAACGCCGCGUGGAGGAUGAAGGUUUUCGGAUUGUAAACCUCUGUCAGCAGGGAAGAACGGUCACUGUGCUAAUCAGCAGUGAAUUGACGGUACCUGCAAAGGAAGCACCGGCUAACUCCGUGCCAGCAGCCGCGGUAAUACGGAGGGUGCGAGCGUUAAUCGGAAUUACUGGGCGUAAAGCGCUCGUAGGCGGUAUGUCAAGUCAAGGGUGAAAUCCCCGCGCUCAACGUGGGAACUGCCUUUGAAACUGGCAAACUGGAGUGUGUGAGAGGAUAGUGGAAUUCCAGGUGUAGGAGUGAAAUCCGUAGAUAUCUGGAGGAACAUCAGUGGCGAAGGCGACUAUCUGGCACAUAACUGACGCUGAGGAGCGAAAGCGUGGGUAGCAAACAGGAUUAGAUACCCUUGUAGUC